UNUGAAGUUAAAGGCAGUGGCUCAACCAUUGUAGGCUUNGGAAACUGUUUAACUUGAGUGCAGAAGGGGAGAGAGGAAUUCCAUGUGUAGCGGUGAAAUGCGUAGAUAUAUGGAGGAACACCGGUGGCGAAAGCGGCUCUNUGGUCUGUAACUGACGCUGAGGCUNGAAAGCGUGGGGAGCGAACAGGAUUAGAUACCCUGGUAGUNCACGCCGUAAACGAUGAGUGCUAGGUGUUAGGUCCUUUCCGGGACUUAGUGCCGCAGCUAACGCAUUAAGCACUCCGCCUGGGGAGUACGACCGCAAGGUUGAAACUCAAAGGAAUUGACGGGGGCCCGCACAAGCGGUGGAGCAUGUGGUUUAAUUCGAAGCAACGCGAAGAACCUUACCAGGUCUUGACAUCCUGAUGCCCGCUCUAGAGAUAGAGCUUUACUUCGGUACAUCGGUGACAGGUGGUGCAUGGUUGUCGUCAGCUCGUGUCGUGAGAUGUUGGGUUAAGUCCCGCAACGAGCGCAACCCUUAUUGUUAGUUGCCAUCAUUCAGCUGGGCACUCUAGCGAGACUGCCGGUAAUAAACCGGAGGAAGGUGGGGAUGACGUCAAAUCAUCAUGCCCCUUAUGACCUGGCUACACACGUGCUACAAUGGCUGGUACAACGAGUCGCAAGCCGGUGACGGCAAGCUAAUCUCUGAAAGCCAGUCUCAGUUCGGAUUGUAGGCUGCAACUCGCCUACAUGAAGUCGGAAUCGCUAGUAAUCGCGGAUCAGCACGCCGCGGUGAAUACGUUCCCGGGCCUUGUACACACCGCCCGUCACACCACGAGAGUUUGUAACACCCGAAGU
Molecule: ribosomal RNA, 837 nt
Filed under: uncultured bacterium
Lineage: Bacteria
Description: bacterial SSU rRNA
Rfam family: Bacterial small subunit ribosomal RNA
Source: RNAcentral